RNAcentral lists this long non-coding RNA (254 nucleotides) under Medicago truncatula (barrel medic). RNAcentral describes it as "long non-coding RNA (MTRU_LNC003050)". Lineage: Eukaryota; Viridiplantae; Streptophyta; Magnoliopsida; Fabales; Fabaceae. The record is from RNAcentral.
UUUCAAUUGUUUUUAAAUUGGACCUAUGUUGUUUUUCAGAUUCCAUUCAAACUUGAUUUUCGAGCAAUGGAUAUUGAACAGUGAAGAAAUGUUGGUGACAUUAAAUUACCAAGAAGGGUAAUUGGUCUAUAAAUGUGUUACGAUGAUAUGAUAACUACAACAAAGCCAAAAACUGUCUAGUCUUUUUCACGAAAAUGGAAAAACAAUGGUCACAUGCAUUCAUCACCGUGUAUACUAAUGUCAUUUUCUUGUUC